CCAAUGAAUAUUUCAAUGGCCGCGGUAUUUUGACCGUGCAAAGGUAGCAUAAUCAUUAGUUUUUUAAUUGAAAGCUGGAAUGAAAGGUUAGAUGAAAAAAUAGCUGUCUCUAUUUAAAUUUUUUAGAAAUUUAUUUUUAAGUUAAAAAGCUUAAAUUUAAUUAGAAGACGAGAAGACCCUAUAGAGUUUUAUUAAUUUUUGUAAUAAUAUUUUUAGUAUUUAAUAUUUUUUUUAUAAAAAUUAAUUUAAUUGGGGUGAUUAAAAAAUUUAUUAAACUUUUUUUAUAUAAAUACAUUCAUUUAUGGAUAAAUGAUCCUUUAAUUAAGAUUAAAAGAUAAAAUUACCUUAGGGAUAACAGCGUAAUUUUUUUAGAGAGUUCAAAUCGAAAAAAAAGAUUGCGACCUCGAUGUUGGAUUAAAAUAAAAUCUUGGUGUAGAAGCUAGGAUAUUUAGGUCUGUUCGACCUUUAAAAUUUUACAUGAUCUGAGUUUAAACCGGUGUGAGCCAGGUUGGUUUCUAUCUCUAUUUAUCUUAGAAUAUUUUAGUACGAAAGGACCAAAUAUUUGAUUUAGAAUUUAUAUUUAAGAAUAAAAUUAUUAUUUUGGCAGAUUAGUGUGAUAGAUUUAGAAUCUUUUUAUGUAAAAAUAUUUUACAAAUAAUACUUGAUACUGAAAGAUUUAAUUUUAAUAACUAUUUCUACUUUAAUUUUAAUUAUUUGUGUUUUAAUUAGAGUAGCCUAUGUGACUUUACUAGAGCGUAAAGUUUU
RNAcentral lists this ribosomal RNA (765 nucleotides) under Falklandiellus suffodens. RNAcentral's name for it is "partial 16S ribosomal RNA". The stretch from base 1 to 547 matches the Rfam family "Bacterial large subunit ribosomal RNA", at positions 1863 to 2925 of the family's 2925-position model. Lineage: Eukaryota; Metazoa; Arthropoda; Insecta; Coleoptera; Curculionidae. The record is from RNAcentral.